GAUGAACGCUGGCGGCGUGCUUAACACAUGCAAGUCGAACGAUGAAGGGGUGCUUGCACCUUGGAUUAGUGGCGAACGGGUGAGUAACACGUGAGCAACCUGCCCCUGACUCUGGGAUAAGCGCUGGAAACGGCGUCUAAUACUGGAUACGAGCAACGGCCGCAUGGCCAGUUGUUGGAAAGAUUUUUUGGUUGGGGAUGGGCUCGCGGCCUAUCAGCUUGUUGGUGAGGUAAUGGCUCACCAAGGCGUCGACGGGUAGCCGGCCUGAGAGGGUGACCGGCCACACUGGGACUGAGACACGGCCCAGACUCCUACGGGAGGCAGCAGUGGGGAAUAUUGCACAAUGGGCGGAAGCCUGAUGCAGCAACGCCGCGUGAGGGAUGACGGCCUUCGGGUUGUAAACCUCUUUUAGCAGGGAAGAAGCGAAAGUGACGGUACCUGCAGAAAAAGCGCCGGCUAACUACGUGCCAGCAGCCGCCGUAACAC
RNAcentral lists this ribosomal RNA (486 nucleotides) under uncultured bacterium. Its description in RNAcentral is "bacterial SSU rRNA". It matches the Rfam family "Bacterial small subunit ribosomal RNA", at positions 28 to 526 of the family's 1533-position model. The record is from RNAcentral.